RNAcentral lists this ribosomal RNA (585 nucleotides) under uncultured bacterium. Its description in RNAcentral is "bacterial SSU rRNA". It matches the Rfam family "Bacterial small subunit ribosomal RNA", at positions 428 to 1028 of the family's 1533-position model. The record is from RNAcentral.
GACCUCUUUCGGUAGGAACGAUUGUGACGGUACCUACAGACAGAAGCACCGUCCAACUAUGUGCCAGCAGCCGCGGUGAUACAUAGGGUGCAAGCGUUAUUCGGAUUUAUUGGGCGUAAAGAGCUCGUAGGCGGUUCGAUUAGUCGGGUGUGAAACCCCCAGGCUUAACCUGAGGCAGCCACCCGAAACUGUCGUGACUAGAGUUUGGUAGGGGAUCACGGAAUUCCUGGUGUAGCGGUGGAAUGCGCAGAUAUCAGGAGGAACACCAGCAGCGAAGGCGGUGAUCUGGGCCAAUACUGACGCUGAGGAGCGAAAGCGUGGGGAGCGAACAGGAUUAGAUACCCUGGUAGUCCAAGCCGUAAACGGUGGGCACUAGGUGUGGGGACUUUUCAACGGUUUCCGCGCCGCAGCUAACGCAUUAAGUGCCCCGACUGAGGAGUACGGCCGCAAAGGCUAAAACUCAAAGAAAUUGACGGGGGCCCGCACAAGCGGUGGAGCAUGCGGCUUAAUUCGAUGCAAUGUGAAGAACGUUACUAAGUUUGACAUGUCGGGAAAAUCCAUAGAGAUAUGGGGUGCUUCGGAGUC